CUACGGGUUGCUGCAGUGGGGAAUAUUGCGCAAUGGGCGAAAGCCUGACGCAGCAACGCCGCGUGAGGGAUGAAGGCCUUCGGGUUGUAAACCUCUGUCGAAUGGGAAGAAAUCUUGACGGUACCAUUAGAGGAAGCCCCGGCUAACUCCGUGCCAGCAGCCGCGGUAAUACGGAGGGGGCAAGCGGUGUUCGGAAUGAUUGGGCGUAAAGCGUAUGUAGGCGGUUAGAUAAGUCAGACGUGCAAGCCCACGGCUCAACCGUGGAAUUGCGUUUGAAACUGUUUAACUUGAGUGCAGAAGAGGAAAGCGGAAUUCCCAGUGUAGCGGUGAAAUGCAUUGAUAUUGGGAAGAACAUCGGUGGCGAAGGCGGCUUUCUGGUCUGAUACUGACGCUGAGAUACGAAAGCCAGGGGAGCGAACGGGAUUAGAUACCCUAGUAGUC
RNAcentral lists this ribosomal RNA (441 nucleotides) under uncultured bacterium. RNAcentral describes it as "partial 16S ribosomal RNA". It matches the Rfam family "Bacterial small subunit ribosomal RNA", at positions 339 to 795 of the family's 1533-position model. The record is from RNAcentral.